GAUGAACGCUAGCGAUAGGCUUAACACAUGCAAGUCGAGGGGCAGCACACGGUAGCUUGCUAUCUGGGUGGCGACCGGCGCACGGGUGCGUAACGCGUAUGCAACUUGCCCUAUACAGGAGGAUAACCCGUCGAAAGACGGACUAAUACUGCGUAUGCUCACAACUUGGCAUCAAGUGGUGAGGAAAGUAAUUCGGUAUAGGAUAGGCAGGCGUCCCAUUGGCUUGUUGGUGAGUUAACGGCCCACCAAGGCAACGAUGGGUAGGGGAACUGAGAGGUUGAUCCCCCACACUGGUACUGAGACACGGACCAGACUCCUACGGGAGGAAGCAGUGAGGAAUAUUGGUCAAUGGGCGCGAGCCUGAACCAGCCAAGUCGCGUGAAGGAUGACUGUCUUAGGGAUAGUAAACUUCUUUUAGACGGGAAUAACAAGAGUCACGUGUGACUCCCUGCAGGUACCGGAUGAAUAAGCAUCGGCUAACUCCGUG
This 487-nucleotide ribosomal RNA is filed under the name uncultured bacterium. RNAcentral's name for it is "partial 16S ribosomal RNA". It matches the Rfam family "Bacterial small subunit ribosomal RNA", at positions 28 to 507 of the family's 1533-position model. The record is from RNAcentral.